UACGUAGGGUGCGAGCGUUAAUCGGAAUUACUGGGCGUAAAGCGUGCGCAGGCGGUUUUGUAAGCCAGAUGUGAAAUCCCCGGGCUUAACCUGGGAAUGGCAUUUGGGACUGCAAGGCUGGAGUGUGGCAGAGGAGACUGGAAUUCCUGGUGUAGCAGUGAAAUGCGCAGAUAUCAGGAGGAACACCGAUGGCGAAGGCAGGUCUCUGGGCCACUACUGACGCUGAGAAGCGAAAGCGUGGGGAGCAAACAGG
Molecule: ribosomal RNA, 253 nt
Filed under: uncultured bacterium
Lineage: Bacteria
Description: partial 16S ribosomal RNA
Rfam family: Bacterial small subunit ribosomal RNA
Source: RNAcentral